RNAcentral lists this ribosomal RNA (1144 nucleotides) under metagenome. RNAcentral describes it as "bacterial LSU rRNA". It matches the Rfam family "Archaeal large subunit ribosomal RNA", at positions 1661 to 2815 of the family's 2987-position model. The record is from RNAcentral.
UGAUGGCGUAAGUCGGCCGACUCCCGGAGCCCGUGAAAAGGAGGGCGGGAGGACCGUACCGAGAACCGACACAGGUGCCCUGGCUGAGCAAGCCAAGGCGUGGCGGAACACUCCGGCCGAGGGAAAUCGGCAAAUUGGCCCCGUAUCUUCGGUAGAAGGGGUGCCUGCGGUCUUGGCCUCACGGCUGGGACCGCAGGUCGCAGUGACUUGGGGGGGGCGACUGUUUACUAAAAACACAGGGGGCUGCAACCCCGUAAGGGUUAGUACAGCCCCUGAGUCCUGCCCAGUGCGGGUACCUGAAAGCCGGGUACAACCGGCCGAAGGGCCCGUAAACGGCGGGGGUAACUAUGACCCUCUUAAGGUAGCGUAAUACCUUGCCGCUUAAUUGGCGGCUUGCAUGAACGGAUUAACGACCCCCCCACUGUCCCCGGCCGGAAGCCGGCGAACCCGACAUCCCAGUGAAGAGUCUGGGGACCCCCGAUGGGAAGCGAAGACCCUGUGGAGCUUUACUGCAGCCUGCCGUUGCCUCACAGCUGGGGGUGCGCAGCGUAGGCGGGAGGCUUCGAAGCCCGGUCUCCGGGCCGGGUGGAGCCGUCCAUGAGACACCGCCCACCUCCAGCUGUGGGGCUAACCGCUUCGUGCGGGACAUCGGUAGGUGGGCAGUUUGGGUGGGGCGCCACUCCCCCGAAAAGAUAUCGGGGGAGCCCAAAGGUCGGCUCAGGCGGGUCAGAACUCCGCCGUAGAGUGCAAGGGCAAAAGCCGGCCUGACGUGACCCCGCACAAUAAGGGGUCACGAGCCGAAAGGCGGGCCUAGCGAACCACCCUGGCCUCUUGGUGAGGCCGGGUGACGACAGAAAAGCUACCCCAGGGGUAACAGAGUUGUCCCCGGCGAGAGUUCAUAUCGACCCGGGGGUUUGCUACAUCGAUGUCGGCUCUCCCCAUCCUGGCCGUGCAGCAGCGGCCAAGGGUGAGGUUGUUCGCCUAUUAAAGGGGAUCGUGAGCUGGGUUUAGACCGUCGUGAGACAGGUCGGUUGCUAUCUAUCGGGGGUGUCUGGGCGGCUGAGGGGAAGGAGGCCCUAGUACGAGAGGAACGGGCCUCCGGCGCCACUGGUCGACCGGUUGUCCGGCAGGGCACUGCCGGGCA